AUCAAGAAUAUGAGGCCGGGCGCGGUGGCUCACGCCUGUAAUCCCAGCUCUCAGGGAGGCAGAGGCGGGAGGAUAGCUUGAGCCCAGGAGUUCGAGACCUGCCUGGGUAAUAUAGCGAGACCCCGUUCUCCACAAAAAG
This 139-nucleotide small RNA is filed under the name Macaca mulatta (Rhesus monkey). RNAcentral's name for it is "partial BC200". Lineage: Eukaryota; Metazoa; Chordata; Mammalia; Primates; Cercopithecidae. The record is from RNAcentral.